RNAcentral lists this ribosomal RNA (380 nucleotides) under uncultured eukaryote. RNAcentral describes it as "partial 18S ribosomal RNA". It matches the Rfam family "Eukaryotic small subunit ribosomal RNA", at positions 592 to 976 of the family's 1831-position model. The record is from RNAcentral.
CAAUAGCGUAUAUUAAAGUUGUUGCGGUUAAAAAGCUCGUAGUUGGAUUUCUGCCGAGGACGACCGGUCCGCCCUCUGGGUGAGUAUCUGGCUCGGCCUGGGCAUCUUCUUGGAGAACGUAGCUGCACUUGACUGUGUGGUGCGGUAUCCAGGACUUUUACUUUGAGGAAAUUAGAGUGUUUCAAGCAGGCUUACGCCUUGAAUACAUUAGCAUGGAAUAAUAAGAUAGGACCUCGGUUCUAUUUUGUUGGUUUCUAGAGCUGAGGUAAUGAUUAAUAGGGAUAGUUGGGGGCAUUCGUAUUUAACUGUCAGAGGUGAAAUUCUUGUAUUUGUUAAAGACGGACUACUGCGAAAGCAUUUGCCAAGGAUGUUUUCAUUGA